UUAGCCAACAAACCAUGGCGGAACACCCACACACUCUCUCUCUCCCUCUCUCUUUGUCUCCUCAAGAUCAUCAGCAACACGCCCAAUGCUCAGAACACAACCCUGCUUCUGCGUCUACGUGAAGCAUGGCUGCAGGUGCAUGAGGACUGACCUCUCUUUAUUUCUUUUUUACACUUCUGCUAGGAAGAGAGAUAGAUAGAUAAAAAGAGGAGAAGAAGGAGGAGGAGGAGGAGGAGGAGGGAAAUGAGCUCAGAAUGCAGCAGCGGCUGCCAGUCUGGUUGGACCAUCUACUUGGUCCACUCCUCCGAUGACCAGAGUGCUCUUUCCCACAAGCAUGGUGGUGGUUGCUUUCGACCGGAAGUGGAAGAGGAAGAGGAAGAGGAAGACCUGUCCAUGGUCUCCGAUGCAUCUUCUUGGCCGCCGCAUUUUGACGGAGCUGGCUAUUGCUGCGUUUUUUCUGCGCCAGUUCCAACCGACGACGGCGGGGAGAAGGGCGGAGCAGCAGGAGAGCAACAACCACAGAUUCAGCACGCUGUUCUGGAGGACACUGCCAGUUCCCAACUCUGCAGCAACACUAACAAGAGCAAGAGACCCAUGGAGGAAUUGCUGGACUCUUCUUCUUGUGACUUAUCCACCACCCAAUCAAAAGCAAAGCCAACCUCAACAACACCAGUUAAGUGGCCAUUAAUACAUAUCUCCACCUCCACCACUGUCUCGACAUUAUGCUUAAUGUGAUCACAUUAAUUUGUUUGUGUUGUGUUCCACAGAGACAGGGAUCGAGGAAACAAAGGAGGAAGGAAUAUGAGGUAGCAGAGUGAAGCUCGAAGGGAUCUGUUCAGUGUUUUGUCCGCACCCUGCUCUGAUUCCUCCCUCCCUACCCCCGACCCACAGACAUUUAGUCUACUGUUAUGGAGACAAGGAGUCAAUUGGAGAGAGAAUCCACCAGACGUGUCAGGAGAAGGAUUACAAGAACAUACACCAUUAAAGUUCCUUUGUCUUCUUCUGCAUUGCAGAUAUAUAGGGAAAACACACACUUCAAUUGUGAUCAGUGUAUCUGUGAACCUAUAGUUGUGAAGCUUUGAAGGCCAGGCUGGAGGAAUUUCUGCUUCGGGCUAUGCCAGCGACACUGAAACAAAAGGAGCAAACUUAAAGCAUCACAAAAUCAGAAUGAUGGCAUCGUCUCCUUCCUUCAAACAAUGUGCGAGGGCAAUUAGGGCCAUAAUAUUGCUCGCAUUGGUUUUGGCUGCAGAGCACAUGACGCUGACAGUAAUGUGAUCAGACCUUUUAUUUUCUACUGCAGCUUUGGGAGGGAUGAAAUGUGAAUGGCGUACAACUUUCAUCUUCCAUCUAAAAUGAAUAUAAUUAGCUAGGGGAGAGAGCAAGGAUGAGUAGUUUGUUAUAUAUAUCUAGUGUAGACUAUAUAUGAAUGGUAUUUGGAGUAGACAACUCAACUCCCCUAGGGUUCCUUCAUCUAGGAUCCCUAAGAAAUCUUCUCUCGUUUGAAAAAAAAAAUAUAUAU
This is an RNA transcript of Zingiber officinale, 1519 nucleotides long. RefSeq lists it as uncharacterized. The record is from RefSeq and is a predicted model, not a curated record. NCBI's taxonomy places the organism in Eukaryota, Viridiplantae, Streptophyta, Magnoliopsida, Zingiberales, Zingiberaceae. The transcript has 4 exons.